This 497-nucleotide ribosomal RNA is filed under the name uncultured bacterium. RNAcentral's name for it is "partial 16S ribosomal RNA". It matches the Rfam family "Bacterial small subunit ribosomal RNA", at positions 28 to 507 of the family's 1533-position model. The record is from RNAcentral.
GAUGAACGCUGGCGGCGUGCCUAAUACAUGCAAGUCGAGCGAACAGAUGAGGAGCUUGCUCCUCUGACGUUAGCGGCGGACGGGUGAGUAACACGUGGAUAACCUACCUAUAAGACUGGGAUAACUUCGGGAAACCGGAGCUAAUACCGGAUAAUAUAUUGAACCGCAUGGUUCAAUAGUGAAAGACGGUUUUGCUGUCACUUAUAGAUGGAUCCGCGCCGCAUUAGCUAGUUGGUAAGGUAACGGCUUACCAAGGCGACGAUGCGUAGCCGACCUGAGAGGGUGAUCGGCCACACUGGAACUGAGACACGGUCCAGACUCCUACGGGAGGCAGCAGUAGGGAAUCUUCCGCAAUGGGCGAAAGCCUGACGGAGCAACGCCGCGUGAGUGAUGAAGGUCUUCGGAUCGUAAAACUCUGUUAUUAGGGAAGAACAAAUGCGUAAGUAACUAUGCACGUCUUGACGGUACCUAAUCAGAAAGCCACGGCUAACUACGUG